RNAcentral lists this ribosomal RNA (348 nucleotides) under Heyndrickxia ginsengihumi. RNAcentral's name for it is "bacterial SSU rRNA". It matches the Rfam family "Bacterial small subunit ribosomal RNA", at positions 1 to 337 of the family's 1533-position model. Lineage: Bacteria; Bacillati; Bacillota; Bacilli; Caryophanales; Bacillaceae. The record is from RNAcentral.
UUUUUGGAGAGUUUGAUCCUGGCUCAGGACGAACGCUGGCGGCGUGCCUAAUACAUGCAAGUCGAGCGAACUGAUGAAGAGCUUGCUUUUGAUCAGUUAGCGGCGGACGGGUGAGUAACACGUGGGUAACCUGCCUGUAAGACUAGGAUAACUCCGGGAAACCGGGGCUAAUACUGGAUAACUUUUCUCUCCGCAUGGAGAGAGAUUGAAAGAUGGCUUCGGCUAUCACUUACAGAUGGACCCGCGGCGCAUUAGCUAGUUGGUGAGGUAACGGCUCACCAAGGCAACGAUGCGUAGCCGACCUGAGAGGGUGAUCGGCCACAUUGGGACUGAGACACGGCCCAAACU